GCGCACCCAGAAACCCUUUGUGAACUUAUACCUUACUGUUGCCUCGGCGCAGGCCGUCCCCUGAUGGGGUCCCUCUGGAGACAGAGGAGCAGCCGGCCGGUGGCCAAAUUAACUCUGUUUUUACACUGAAACUCUGAGUACAAAACAUAAAUGAAUCAAAACUUUCAACAACGGAUCUCUUGGUUCUGGCAUCGAUGAAGAACGCAGCGAAAUGCGAUAAGUAAUGUGAAUUGCAGAAUUCAGUGAAUCAUCAAAUCUUUGAACGCACAUUGCGCCCUCUGGUAUUCCGGAGGGCAUGCCUGUUCGAGCGUCAUUUCAACCCUCAAGCCUGGCUUGGUGUUGGGGCACUGCUCUCUGACGAGAGCAGGCCCUGAAAUAUAGUGGCGAGCUCGCCAGGACUCCGAGCGUAGUAGUUAAACCCUCGCUUUGGAAGGCCUGGCGGUGCCCUGCCGUUAAACCCCAACUUCUGAAAAUUUGACCUCGGAUCAGGUAGGAAUACCCGCUGAACUUAAGCAUAUCAA
This 521-nucleotide ribosomal RNA is filed under the name Phomopsis sp. CT564. RNAcentral's name for it is "eukaryotic LSU rRNA". The stretch from base 160 to 313 matches the Rfam family "5.8S ribosomal RNA". Lineage: Eukaryota; Fungi; Ascomycota; Sordariomycetes; Diaporthales; Diaporthaceae. The record is from RNAcentral.